This 2189-nucleotide long non-coding RNA is filed under the name Mytilus galloprovincialis (Mediterranean mussel). Lineage: Eukaryota; Metazoa; Mollusca; Bivalvia; Mytilida; Mytilidae. The record is from RNAcentral.
UUACAGUGAUAUGUAGUGAAGUUUAGCAUUUGAUAGUUCAUUGAUAACAUUCUGGCGUAUCAUAAACAAACAACUUGUAACGUCUCAUUUCAUUGGCCGAAAGAUUUAAAUACAACAGCAAUGUAGUCAGUUUGCACGUGAAUUGACACAGGUGACCGACAAUGGAAUUUACUAGUAUAUGUUACUACGAACGUAAAAACAAUGAUUUGUAUAGUUUACAAACCUUUGGCCAAAAGAUUUAAAUAAAUGUUUUGUUAACUUCAAAUAGUGGGGUCGAAAUAGUAUACUGAUAUUCUAAGUUCUUUAUGCAUGCAGCAACUCAAUUAUCUUGUACCCGGCAUGAUGAGAAAUAUAAGGAUAAAAUAAAAUACAUGUGCCGCUUUUAUACGGAUGAAUAAAUGAACCACUUUUAAUUUCUUUCAUACCUACGAUAGGUUAUUAUCCUUACAAUGUCGUAGUCACUUAUAAAGUAUUUCAUAAUACUGAUUCCGCUUUACAAUAAUUAAUGAUGGGUUGCACUGACAUUCCUCUUUUAUUAUUUUCAUGCUAAAAACACACACAGUAGCUACCAUAAAAGGAGGAAGUUGUCCCCCAAAGAUAGAAACAAAAUAACUCUAAUCGUAUCAUUUGUGCACCUGAAUGAAUUCAGUGAAGAUUAUUUCUUUCGCAUAUUUGAAACAAAAUAAAUAUUAAUACUUGUGAGAAAUGUGGUAGUUUAUAAGGAACAACUCCCGUUUGAAUUGUUUUACAUUAUUAUUUCGGGGCCUUUUAUAGCUGACUAUGCGGUAUGGGCUUUGCUCAUUAUUGAAAGCUGUACGGUGACCUAUAGUUGUUAAUUUCUGUGUCAUUUGUGUCUCUUGUGGAGAGUUGUCUCAUUGGCAAUCAUACCACAUCUUCUUUUUUUUUUACAUAUAUAUUAAAUGUACUGUUUUCGAUUAUGAAAUGGUGAAUAUUUAUUUUUUAAAUUUAUACUAAGAAUAGAGUUGCAUAACAUUGUUGAACAAUCCGCUAAAGUAUAUGUAGUAUGUAUUCGUAUUUAAAAUAAAAUACAAAACGAAACGUGCAUGAUAUACUGAUAAAAAAAAUAUCAAGAAAUUAAGGAUGACUAAAUGUAUGUACAAGAUGAAACUCACCUUUUUAUAACUACAUUUAAAUGAUUUAAUGAAUACAUACAUUGUUUGUUUCUAUUUACAUAGAUAUAGGAAGAUGUGGUGUGAGUGCCAAUAAGACAACUCUCCAUCCAAAUAACAAUUUAUAAAAGUAAACCAUUAUAGGUCAAUGUGCGGCCUUCAAUACGGAGCCUUGGCUCACACUGAACAACAACCUAUAAAGGGCCCCAAAAUUACUAGUGUAAAACCAUUCAAUCGGGAAAACCAAGGGUUUAAUAUCUACAAUAUAUAAUUUACGUUCGUUUUUCAACCGAGAAUAGCAAAACCUCAUGAAUUAUAUCGUUUGUAUAAACUUCAUUUAAUUAUCCGCUGUGCCAUGAUUGGCCAUCUCCAUUUUUUCUUAACAAAGCGUGUUACAUGUUAUGAAUUUACUUACAAUUUCGAGAUUUAAUUUUUUUCUUCAAGUUAAUGGAAUCAGAAAAAAAAUCACUAUUCUAUGAAGAAUACCUAAAACUUGGCAAAUAAUAUGAAAAGUGUUUGUAGUAAAGUAUACAGUUUCAUUUUUCAAGUACAUGUCAACGUUAAUUCAUCGAGUCCAUUGAGUAUAGGACAAGGCAGGAUAAGCAACUUGGUUGUGUCAAUGAAAAAAAAAUGUGAAUUGAGUUUUUUUUUAUCCUACAUCAAACUUUUGAUGUCGUCCCUUGAUUUAUAAGAGGAGAUAUUUAAAUUUAAUAUUUUAACUGUUAAGAUUUUAAAGUUUAAACUUUACUACCAAUUAAUUGCAGAAAAUUAUAAAACAAAUGAAUUUCACAUGCACUGCACAUUAAUAAAGCUAGAAUUGUGAUUAGAAUCAUGUAUGCGAAUACGACGAUAGAAGCUUUAGACGACCUUGACCACCUACGUGAAUAUUAAUCAGUCCAUUCAACGUUAAAGUACGUGUGUUCUAUUUUUGCAGGUGUAAGGUAGAAGGUUUGAAUUGACCAAUGAAAACAAUCGUUCCUUAGAGAGUUAAUCUAAUAAAGUUUGUUUGUCUGAUUAUGUCGCACGACCCUUCGCGAAGCUUGACCGCAGUUGGGUAUA